GAUGAACGCUAGCGAUAGGCUUAACACAUGCAAGUCGAGGGGCAGCAUGGUCUUAGCUUGCUAAGGCUGAUGGCGACCGGCGCACGGGUGCGUAACGCGUAUGCAACUUGCCUCACAGAGGGGGAUAACCCGUCGAAAGACGGACUAAUACCGCGUACACUCUAUGUUGGGCAUCCAAUGUAGAGGAAAUGAAAUUCGCUGUGAGAUAGGCAUGCGUCCCAUUAGCUAGUUGGUGAGGUAACGGCUCACCAAGGCGACGAUGGGUAGGGGAACUGAGAGGGUGACCCCCGACACUGGGACUGGGACACGGACCAGACUCCUACGGGAGGCAGCAGUGAGGAAUAUUGGUCAAUGGGCGAGAGCCUGAACCAGCCAAGUCGCGUGAAGGAUGACUGUCUUAUGGAUUGUAAACUUCUUUUAUACGGGAAUAACAAGAGUCACGUGUGGCUCCCUGCAUGUACCGUAUGAAUAAGCAUCGGCUAACUCCGUG
This 490-nucleotide ribosomal RNA is filed under the name uncultured bacterium. RNAcentral describes it as "partial 16S ribosomal RNA". It matches the Rfam family "Bacterial small subunit ribosomal RNA", at positions 28 to 507 of the family's 1533-position model. The record is from RNAcentral.